GCCGAGCCUUGUAACGUGGGCUUGUAACCUAAGUUGGGGCAACAAUGUAGUGGGAUGUUAGGCUGUUCCAGAUGGCUGGACUUUGGUUGGCAUUAGUCUGGCUUGCCCUAUCCAAGCACGGAGUUGAGUCACGUGGUCCAAACGAAAGUAUGGGCUGCUUGGCUCUUAGAGUGGGGUGGACUGCGUGAGGCUGGUUUCACAGAGCAACGAAUAACUCCCAGUCUGUGCAGUGGAAGGAUAACGAGUCAGUGCUUUCCAAGUUCAACAAAAACCUGAUGGACUACCUAAUUAAACCACCACUUUU
RNAcentral lists this signal recognition particle RNA (304 nucleotides) under Solanum lycopersicum (tomato). RNAcentral describes it as "Plant signal recognition particle RNA". It matches the Rfam family "Plant signal recognition particle RNA". Lineage: Eukaryota; Viridiplantae; Streptophyta; Magnoliopsida; Solanales; Solanaceae. The record is from Rfam by way of RNAcentral.